GACGAACGCUAGCGGCGUGCUUAACACAUGCAAGUCGAACGGAAAGGCCCUGCUUGCAGGGUACUCGAGUGGCGAACGGGUGAGUAACACGUGGGUGAUCUGCCCUGCACUUCGGGAUAAGCCUGGGAAACUGGGUCUAAUACCGGAUAGGAGCCAUUUUUAGUGUGAUGGUUGGAAAGUUUUUUCGGUGUAGGAUGAGCUCGCGGCCUAUCAGCUUGUUGGUGGGGUAAUGGCCUACCAAGGCGGCGACGGGUAGCCGGCCUGAGAGGGUGGACGGCCACAUUGGGACUGAGAUACGGCCCAGACUCCUACGGGAGGCAGCAGUGGGGAAUAUUGCACAAGGGGCGCAAGCCUGAUGCAGCGACGCCGCGGGGGGGAUGACGGCCUUCGGGUUGUAAACGCCUUUCGCUAGGGACGAAGCUUUUUGUGACGGUACCUAGAUAAGAAGCACCGGCUAACUACGUG
This 465-nucleotide ribosomal RNA is filed under the name uncultured bacterium. RNAcentral's name for it is "partial 16S ribosomal RNA". It matches the Rfam family "Bacterial small subunit ribosomal RNA", at positions 28 to 507 of the family's 1533-position model. The record is from RNAcentral.